This 72-nucleotide transfer RNA is filed under the name Nelumbo nucifera (sacred lotus). It matches the Rfam family "tRNA". Rfam says of the family: Transfer RNA (tRNA) molecules are approximately 80 nucleotides in length. Their secondary structure includes four short double-helical elements and three loops (D, anti-codon, and T loops). Further hydrogen bonds mediate the characteristic L-shaped molecular structure. tRNAs have two regions of fundamental functional importance: the anti-codon, which is responsible for specific mRNA codon recognition, and the 3' end, to which the tRNAs corresponding amino acid is attached (by aminoacyl-tRNA synthetases). tRNAs cope with the degeneracy of the genetic code in two manners: having more than one tRNA (with a specific anti-codon) for a particular amino acid; and 'wobble' base-pairing, i.e. permitting non-standard base-pairing at the 3rd anti-codon position. Lineage: Eukaryota; Viridiplantae; Streptophyta; Magnoliopsida; Proteales; Nelumbonaceae. The record is from Rfam by way of RNAcentral.
GGGGAUUUAGCUCAAACGGAAGACGUUCGCUUUGCAUGCGAGAGGUACGGGGUUUGAUUCCCCGCAUCUCCA